RNAcentral lists this ribosomal RNA (465 nucleotides) under uncultured bacterium. RNAcentral describes it as "partial 16S ribosomal RNA". It matches the Rfam family "Bacterial small subunit ribosomal RNA", at positions 338 to 795 of the family's 1533-position model. The record is from RNAcentral.
CCUACGGGCGGCUGCAGUGGGGAAUAUUGCGCAAUGGGCGAAAGCCUGACGCAGCGACGCCGCGUGAGGGAUGAAGGUCUUCCGAUCGUAAACCUCUUUCAGCAGGGAAGAACGGUCACUGUGCUAAUCAUCAGUGAAUUGACGUUACCUGCAAAGGAAGCACCGGCUAACUCCGUGCCAGCAGCCGCGGUAAUACGGAGGGUGCGUGCGUUAAUCGGAAUUACUGGGAGUAAAGCGCUCGUAGGCGGUAUGUCAAGUCAAGGGUGAAAUCCCGGGGCUCAACGGGGGAACUGCCUUUGAAACUGGCAGACUGGAGUGUGGGAGAGGAUAGUGGAAUUCGAGGUGUAGGGGUGAAAUGCGUAGAUAUCGGGAAGAACAUCAGUGGCGAAGGCGACUAGCUGGAACAUAACUGACGCUGAGGAGCGAAAGCGUGGGUAGCAAACAGGAUUAGAUACCCGAGUAGUC